Long non-coding RNA from Anguilla rostrata (American eel), 1320 nucleotides. RefSeq lists it as uncharacterized. The transcript is spliced from 2 exons. The record is from RefSeq and is a predicted model, not a curated record. Lineage: Eukaryota; Metazoa; Chordata; Actinopteri; Anguilliformes; Anguillidae.
GGGGUUUAGUGCCGGAGGGCAGGGUUUAGUGCCCUGGGGUAGGAGGCAGGGUUUAGUGCACUGGGGGUGGGGUUUAGUGCCCUGGGGGUGGGGUUUAGUGCCAGGGGGUGGGGAUUUAGUUUCCUCAGGGCAGAGUUGCCCUUCCUCUUAAGGGCUCCACCCAGAUGCCCUCAUCUUUAUAUGAACCCAUCAGUCUAAUCAGAGGUGUCUCCUCUGCUCCGCCCCCUAUGGUGCUCUUGCUCUGCCCUCUGAGGGGUUGUUGCUCCGCCCCCUGAGGUAUACUUACUCCGCCCCCUGAGGUGAUCUCUGCUCCGCCCCCUGAGGUGCUCUCGAGGCGCUUUACCUGAAAGCUCAGCAGUGGAACUCUAGCAGCUGUGCCUUCCUGCCCCCAACCGCCUACUGCAACACGCACCAGCUGAGAAUACCGCUUCCGCAAUGUUCUUUGAACUUAGAUUCCAUUAUGUUGUAUGGAAACGUUUUUCCGUCUUGCUGAUCAGUGACAGUGCCACAACUAGCUAUGUAUUUUGCAAAAAGAUGUUUUUUAUUUGUUUGUUAAUAAACACAAUGGGCUGUAAGUAAAAUGUGCUCACAAGCAUGCAGUUAAUUCUGUAAGAGGUGUUAUGGUGAAAAGCCAUAUCAAGCAGGUCUUUACCCUAUAAAACUGCAUAUGGGUCAUGGCAUGUAUUAUAACGCGUAAUUGCGGGUGGAAGUGGGAUUUAACUGCACAUUAUUCAUUCACACAUCUUGUAGGAAAUGUACUGUACUGCAGACGUGCCAUGCUGGGAUGUUUGUCUGCUUGUGAAUUAAGAGGCUGGCGCAGACGGAUUGUGCUUUAUACGGUGUAGGCGCGACUUAAUCUUGGGAUAUGACAGAAUUUGUGUUUUAAAAUGGUGGUUUGUCGCUGAGGAGUGAAAUUAUUCAUGUCUUCACCAAAUGAAUUGUUUUCCUCUCACUUAAUAGAGAAGUUCCCACUGAUGUUACUUCAGCAGGGCCUCCAUUAUCCCAGGUUGGCGAAGGCCCGGAAGGCCUCCAUCUUAAUGCAGUGAGCUGAAGUUGGUUUCCACGUUAUGAUUGGUUAUACGUUGUGUUAGGGUUUACACAUUUAUAGGAAUUACAGUAAUGUGCCGUACUGUUUAAGGAAUUUGUUCACAAUCUAGUGGGGGAUUAACGGAUCAAAUCCAUGUUGCUCAGAAAAAGAUGUUCUGGUUAACAGCAUUAAUGUACAGUAAUGUCAUUUAUAUAUAUUGGUAUUGAAUUAUACAUAUGAUGUAUGAGCAAAGUUUAAAAUGGUUUAAAACAAUAAAAACUAUCAUGAUUAAA